CUAACUGUCCAUGGUACGACUGCAACCUGUAUGUGCAUCUUUGAAUUUACACAUGUCUGAUAUUUACAUAUUUUAAAAUCCCCUAUAGGAGGAGGGCAUGAUGUGUGAUUUGAGGAAGCGUAUGAAGAGCAAAACGAUAAAAUCCAUCCGGCAAGAAUUGUUUCGUUGUUAUCUUUUUCUUCUGAAUAAUUUUCUGAUGCUGAGACUUGGACCUUGUUCAUGCAUAUACUUUUCAAUAUGAGGGCUUUCAAGGAUGAAGAGGAGGAUAAAUUAGUUGCUUUAGUUACUAAAUAACGUGUCCGGGCGGCGGUACGGACUGGAUCCCACCAUCAUCACCAGCAGCCACCUCGUCCUGUCCCGCGUGUGCUGUCAGUCUGCGGGCGAGGAAGAGAACACCUGCGAAGAGGACGAGGAUAUCCUCCCCGAUAUGGAGCUCGCCGCAUUCAUGAGAUCAUCCACCAGCAGAGGACCAAAGAACCAGGCCUGCCGAGAACGCCAACUGCCCCAGCACGUUUGCCGCACCCCCGUCGCCUGUGCCCAUCCUCGUCGGCUCAGUUUUGUCUUCGUUAGGCAGGUACCUAUCUUUGGUGUUGAUUGUUGCUCACAUUCCUGUCAACACUUUGGUCUGUAGGUUAAGAAAACGAGCCCAAAGAAGUACUGCGUCCAGCCAAACAACAGCAUUGUGGCACCGCGAUCCACAUUCGUUGUUCUCGCCCUUGGCUUUAAUUGCGAAGUUGAUGAAGGAGGAGAAUAAUUUUGUGUUCAAGAGAACAAUAAGCAUCCAGAGGAACUGGUUCGUGGG
Triticum dicoccoides is the source of this 802-nucleotide long non-coding RNA. RefSeq lists it as uncharacterized. The transcript has 5 exons. Lineage: Eukaryota; Viridiplantae; Streptophyta; Magnoliopsida; Poales; Poaceae. The record is from RefSeq and is a predicted model, not a curated record.